UCGAACGGUAACAGGGAGCUUGCUCCGCUGACGAGUGGCGAACGGGUGAGUAAUGCGUCGGAACGUGCCGAGUAGUGGGGGAUAACGCAUCGAAAGGUGUGCUAAUACCGCAUACGUACUGAGGUAGAAAGUGGGGGACCUUCGGGCCUCACGCUAUUCGAGCGGCCGACGUCUGAUUAGCUAGUUGGUGAGGUAAAGGCUCACCAAGGCGACGAUCAGUAGCGGGUCUGAGAGGAUGAUCCGCCACACUGGGACUGAGACACGGCCCAGACUCCUACGGGAGGCAGCAGUGGGGAAUUUUGGACAAUGGGCGCAAGCCUGAUCCAGCCAUGCCGCGUGUCUGAAGAAGGCCUUCGGGUUGUAAAGGACUUUUGUCCGGGAGCAAAUGCUGGUGGCUAACAUCCACCGGAGCUGAGAGUACCGGAAGAAUAAGCACCGGCUAACUACGUGCCAGCAGCCGCGGUAAUACGUAGGGUGCAAGCGUUAAUCGGAAUUACUGGGCGUAAAGCGUGCGCAGGCGGUUUUGUAAGCCAGAUGUGAAAGCCCCGGGCUCAACCUGGGAACUGCGUUUGGAACUACAAGACUAGAGUGUGUCAAAGGGGGGUGGAAUUCCGCGUGUA
This 620-nucleotide ribosomal RNA is filed under the name Vogesella alkaliphila. RNAcentral's name for it is "bacterial SSU rRNA". It matches the Rfam family "Bacterial small subunit ribosomal RNA", at positions 62 to 677 of the family's 1533-position model. The record is from RNAcentral. Lineage: Bacteria; Pseudomonadati; Pseudomonadota; Betaproteobacteria; Neisseriales; Chromobacteriaceae.